GGGACGGGGCCCCGUAUAUUAAACGGGGCGGGGACGGGGAUAGAGGUCCCCGCCCCGUGGAGACCCGUUUAAACCCCGUUUAUGUAAAAAGACUAGAAUACCCUUAAUAUAUAUAUGUCAUAUGAAGGAAGGUGAAAACCCUAGCCGUCACACUUGAAAAGUUGCAAUUCACAAUCUUCAACCUAGUCUCUGUCUCUCUGAACUCUUCACCAGUCACCACCCUCAAACCUCAGCCUCUCGCCCUUUCUGAACCACGCACGGUCGCACCAUCACCACCACCGACCGCCACCGACUGCCACCUCUCGCCCUCGCUCUCAGUCCUUUACCGCUACGGUGCUACCUCCCACCCCUCAGUCCGUCACCGUCACCGUCAUUUUCACCGUCUUUGCGUCUUCGCCGGUCGUCACCUCUUCUCUGGUCGUCGCGCCUUUGCUUGUCAUCACUUCUUCGCCGUCGGGUAACUGGGUAAGGCAUAGAACACUGCUCACACAUGCUUUACUGUUGCUUCUCCUCUUCACUCCUCGCGGUGAAACCAUCAGUCUCGUCUCAUCUCCUCUCCUCUCCUCUCCGCUUACUGGAUUUCUAAUUUAGGGUAAUUAGGUUUAGAGUUCUGAAUUUUCUGAUUAUGAUUUCUAUUUAGGGUUGAUUUGAUUCUGAAUUUUUUAUUUAGGAUUAUUAGGUUAUUAGUUCUGAA
Non-coding RNA from Arachis ipaensis, 694 nucleotides. The record is from RefSeq and is a predicted model, not a curated record. Lineage: Eukaryota; Viridiplantae; Streptophyta; Magnoliopsida; Fabales; Fabaceae.